This is a long non-coding RNA of Frieseomelitta varia, 932 nucleotides long. RefSeq lists it as uncharacterized. The transcript has 3 exons. The record is from RefSeq and is a predicted model, not a curated record. Lineage: Eukaryota; Metazoa; Arthropoda; Insecta; Hymenoptera; Apidae.
UUACAGUGAAAAUACCCUGUACAACAAAAAAAAAAAAGUAGCUAUCGUAUAGCUUCGUUCGUAUGACGAAAAAGCACAAAGCAGAAGCAGUUCGGGCGUGCAACUAACAAUGAGGUUCACCGUGCCACCAAAUUUGGUACACGCGGCAUUCGAAAGCGUUGAAACAGAAGAUACACGUAUCGGGGGGGAUGGAUUUGAUCUGCUACAUUGAACGGUCAACGACGUUCUGACUGGUGCGCACUCGCGUCGCGCAACACGUGAUCAAGCACCUAACCAGCCAGCCAGUCGAGUGGGGAAAGCCUUUUCCCUUGAGUUUCGUGCACGGUGUACGAGUAACAAGAGGCGAGAGAGUGUGCACGAGAGGAAGGCAGGUCGCGGCGAAGCCAAACACGAAAAUCAAACUUCGGAUGGAAUUCCUAUUCGUUUCGAUGCAUUCGAGCACCGAGAGAACAACCGUGAGACCGUGUUUUAUUGUUUGAAGAUCAGUCCUGAUCUUAUCAUUCAUUUGGAAAUUCCUCGUGGCGAGACAUGGAAAUUUAGAACUGUUAGGAAUACCAGGGACCUAAUCUUAUCGGAUAAAGUUAUUGAGCACAUGUGACAAAGAGUCUCUCAACAAUGUAAAAAUAUUUAGAGAAAGUUUGCAGUGCAAUAAAAUUCACAACAUAAUGCAUAAGACACAAAGGAUCCUCGGACCUUUUAGGGCCUGUGAAAUCCGUAGAAGGAAUAAGGGUGGCUACCUGAAAACUCAAUAACACUCGGAAGUCAACGGGAUUCUAACUGCAGGCCUUUUGAAUAAACGUCGAAUUUUAUAACUGUUGUAAAUGCAAUUAUACAAUAAUUCUAUAUUUUUUAUAAAUAUAAUGUCCAAAAAUCUGAAUGUCCAAAAUGGAGUUGCAGUAUUUCAUAAAUAAAAAUCACGUCUAUGAAAAUUA